CCAGACUCCUACGGGAGGCAGCAGUGGGGGAUAUUGGACAAUGGGGGGAACCCUGAUCCAGCGACGCCGCGUGAGUGAAGAAGUAUUUCGGUAUGUAAAGCUCUGUCAGCAGGGAAGAAAGCAAUGACGGUACCUGACCAAGAAGCCCCGGCUAACUACGUGCCAGCAGCCGCGGUAAUACGUAGGGGGCAAGCGUUAUCCGGAAUUACUGGGUGUAAAGGGAGCGUAGACGGCUGUGCAAGUCUGGAGUGAAAGCCCGGGGCCCAACCCCGGAACUGCUCUGGAAACUGUGCGGCUAGAGUACUGGAGGGGCAGGCGGAAUUCCUAGUGUAGCGGUGAAAUGCGUAGAUAUUAGGAGGAACACCAGUGGCGAAGGCGGCCUGCUGGACAGUAACUGACGUUGAGGCUCGAAAGCGUGGGGAGCAAACAGGAUUAGAUACCCCUGUA
RNAcentral lists this ribosomal RNA (447 nucleotides) under uncultured bacterium. Its description in RNAcentral is "bacterial SSU rRNA". It matches the Rfam family "Bacterial small subunit ribosomal RNA", at positions 331 to 792 of the family's 1533-position model. The record is from RNAcentral.